Molecule: unclassified non-coding RNA, 283 nt
Filed under: plant metagenome
Description: partial contains small subunit ribosomal RNA, internal transcribed spacer 1, and 5.8S ribosomal RNA
Rfam family: 5.8S ribosomal RNA (bases 235-283)
Source: RNAcentral
UUUCCGUAGGUGAACCUGCGGAAGGAUCAUUAUUGUAUAACCGAGGUGCGAGGGCUGUCGCUGACCCGAAAGGUCGUGCACGCCCGAGUGCCCUCACACACAUCCAUCUCACCCCUAUGUGCACCACCGCGCGGGUCCCCCUUUGGCUUGUUCGGAGGGGGGCUUACGUUUUCACACAAACUUUGUAUGCAGUGUAGAAUGUAUUUUUUGUUUUUGCGAUCACGCAAUCAAUACAACUUUCAACAACGGAUCUCUUGGCUCUCGCAUCGAUGAAGAUCGCAGC